UUUCAAUUUCCAAAUCAGGUGCUCCGCAGGGCGCAGCUUUAUACGACCGCAGAGGUCGAACCCUGAACAGUUGGGGCAAGUAUGGACAAAACAUUCAAGCGUGAUACAGCUCUGAAUUUGGAUUGUGAUCAAAUUUUUGACAUUACAUGGGUUUUUUUUCCACAAAACAAAUGUCAAGAUUUUGCAAAUCAAUUAAAGAUUUCUUCUUCAAACUUUUUAAAUCUAAAAUUAAAUAGUUGACACAGCAUAGGUUUCUGACACAGAAUGAAUGUGGUCUAAUGAACUUAAAAAGUUUUUUUUUUUUGCCUUUGAGCAAUUCACUAUGCUGUUGAAUAUUAAUCCUCUCAAAAAAAUGUUUGAAGAAAUUUUCUUUUUGUUUAUGAAAUCUGAAAUGAGAAAAAUUUAACCCCCCCCCUUUUUUUUUCACAUCCCUGUUUCCCUUUUUCCAAAACUGAUAUCAAUUCAAAUUUCUAAUGGAGUUUGCAACAAUAACUACUCUUUUAAAUACAUCAUAAAAUAUUAAAAUGUAAAAUAAAGUGCUUGUUAUCACUGAAUGGUAAAGAUUGGUUGGUAGUAAAAGUGAAUAUACAUUGUUUAUUGUAUAAAACAAUAAAAAAAACUUCAUCAGCA
This 630-nucleotide long non-coding RNA is filed under the name Mytilus galloprovincialis (Mediterranean mussel). The record is from RNAcentral. Lineage: Eukaryota; Metazoa; Mollusca; Bivalvia; Mytilida; Mytilidae.